AAAGUGUUCCCAUUACUUCUUAGUUUGCAUUCCUGCUUUCCUUUUGGACAAAACAUGCAUGUAUAUAUGUUAGCUCAAGGAGAGACCUCCAGGCAUCAGAGAUUGAGAAGUUUAUUGGAAUCAGAGGCAAAAGUCCUUCUAAGACUGAGUUUACACUCUGCUUAGCAGCCACCAGAUGUCAGCAACUCAUCUGAUUUCAGUUCCCUGGCAAAGGGAAAGAAGCUAUGAAGAAGGAAGGACUGCUUUGGGCUGACAUCAGCUUUCUGUAAGUUUCAGGUAUGAGUUAAGGAAGUUGUCUACUCCUAGGAAAAAUGCUAAAGUCUCAGGUAAGGUGGUAGACUGAGGAUGACCAGACAGCACAGCCGUGUGAUGGAUUUGUUAAAUGAACACUUUAAUGUGAUUUUUUUUGGUACUGUUUACAGAUUCCGAAGUUUGUCAGGAAAUUAAAGGUGCUUUGUUGGGAAGACUUUUAAAACUAAAUGCAACCAAAUGAGUAUAUUUGCUUUCAAGUUUUUUUUCAUGUAUGUUUUUAAAAUACUCUUGCUGGACUCUUGAGAAAAACUGUGUUAAGAGGAGAAGUGCAAACAUAAUUUCAAAGAGAAGGCCUAAAUAAGAUAGGCAAAGGGCAGGAAGCAAUUAAGACCAGCUCCUGUGAUGAGUAUUUAUUUUAUAAAACCAGGAUAAGACCUCCAUAUAAUAAAUGUGAGACAAAAUAACUUUGGUGAAUUAAAUAUCAACAUAGCUAAAAAUGCCUUCAGUUUAAUGAAGGAGGCCUCCUUAUUAGUUCACAGCGUUAUAGAACUAUCAUAAUGUAUCCUUCAGGAAGCCAAGUCCAGGGUGUAAAUGCAAUAAGAUCACAUUUAUUAAAAGUUCUCAGAUUUCUAAAAGCUCUCCUGAUAGGGAUGCCCCAUUUCUGCUUUUCUCACCUAAAUUUCAGUGAAUCUUCUUCUACUUUGCACUUCUAGUUUUGUUUUUGUUAUCAGUGAGUCUGUACUUCAAGGUCAGGUCUGCAUCACUCACUCACUGUUGGGAAGUCUCUGUGCGGCUAGAAGUUCAGAGGAAGGGCCAAGUUUCUCCUUUGCCAAGUCUCUUAGUAGGCGAGCUGGUUAGUGGACCCAACCUUGAAGGCUGGAAUUUGAGGUCUUCUGCAGGUGCCUUCAGGUAGUUUGGGCUCAGCAGUGCUAUAGGGACUUUGUCAACAGUUCCCUCCCCAAGGACCUGCAUAGGGCUUGGCUGGGUGGGAGCUGGAGCCAUCUAUUGACAAAACAGUGUUGAACCUACUUUUCCCACUUUAAUGAAUCCCUGAGAUCAGCCUGCUCUGUCCCUCCUGGUCCCCUAGACAAGCCAAGGACUGUCCUUCCUGUUUUCUCCAGCCAGCUUUCCCUACUGACCCCUGAAACUGCCUAAGAUCGCCUUUAAAGUUGACUGGAGGAUCAAACUACCUCCUGGCUCAUGCCUCCCCCCAUCGCUCCAGCCUGAUGUUAUUUCACGCCUCUUAAUUCCUAAACUGCUCCGUGUACCACAUCUUUAGUUCUUUAAUUAACAGUCUUAUAUGACUAAUUAUAUAGAUAUAAUUAUAUAUUGAUAAUUAAUAUCAUAUGUAACACAUUAUAUUAUAUUGCCAUCUAUAUUAUGUAAACCUAUUUCUUCUAAAAUAGGUCAUAAAUUUCUUGAAACUUGAAAACAACUUUUAGCCUAGGAUUUUACAAAUGGUAAUGCAUAAUAUCCACUUCUCAUUGAAAGCAGAGAUAUCACAUUUGCUGAUCAGACUAGGAACUCUAACUUUCAAAAUAAAUGUCCCUAGAAGUAAAUUUAUAAGAUCAAUGAGAGAUAGAACCUGGAACCCUUUGUUCCUUCCUCGUGUACUGCUCUAUUUGAGAACCUUCAGUAAAGAAGGGCCCCGAGGAGAAGUUUCUGUGGUUCAACUUCUAUCCUUUCUCUGGUAGCUGUGGUUCUUUUUGACAAGGAGGAAAGCCAAGCCUCAAUCCCCUAAGGGUAAUUUGACCUGCUAAUUAUAUUCAAAGUCUCAGCUCCCUAAAAGAGGGCUUGACUUUGUUGUCACCUGGGAAAUGUCAACAAAUGACAUUAUCUCCCUUUGAGCAAUCUCUGUGGCUUUUGGCUGGACAAGGAGGGUCAAUAGGGAAGCCAGGUGAGUCAGGAGCCUUGGAGUCACCCGGGAAGGGGACUUGUGGGGCAUUUAAUGAAUGUCUUCCUACAAUUUCGGAUCUUAUUGCUGAACUUUAAUAAAAGUCAUCAUGAUUCUGUUAUAAAGAGAACCUUGGAAGGAAAACCAGUUUUCUGUUUUUUGACUUGUAAAUAAAGGGAGGGCCAGGCAAAAGCAGUGACGGGCAGGUACAGCAUGGGAACAUUGUAACAUGGUUCUGGCUGGCUAGACUAAGGCCAUAUCCAAUGCCACUGGUGUGCAGAGGGAGGCUGUCCCUCCUCUGUCUCCUGCUAAAUCAGGCUGAGGUUGGUUGAAAGACAGUGUGAUCGGUUGAUUAAGAUGACUUCUUACUCCAUUUAGCCAGUGCUUGCUGAGUGCUUUACAUCAUCACCAUAUUUAAUCCCUGCCACAACUCUUGGGAACAUGCUAUCAUUUCCUUUUAUAGAAAAGGAAGCUGAAGCUCUGAGAGGUAAGGAAACAUGUCUGAGCCACACA
This 2659-nucleotide long non-coding RNA is filed under the name Marmota monax (woodchuck). Lineage: Eukaryota; Metazoa; Chordata; Mammalia; Rodentia; Sciuridae. The record is from RNAcentral.